This 462-nucleotide ribosomal RNA is filed under the name uncultured bacterium. RNAcentral describes it as "partial 16S ribosomal RNA". It matches the Rfam family "Bacterial small subunit ribosomal RNA", at positions 338 to 795 of the family's 1533-position model. The record is from RNAcentral.
CCUACGGGAGGCAGCAGUGAGGAAUAUUGGUCAAUGGACGCAAGUCUGAACCAGCCAAGUAGCGUGCAGGAUGACGGCCCUCCGGGUUGUAAACUGCUUUUAGUUGGGAAUAAAAGGGGGCUCGUGAGCCCCGUAUUGUAUGUACCAUCAGAAAAAGGACCGGCUAAUUCCGUGCCAGCAGGCGCGGUAAUACGGAAGGUCGGGGCGUUAUCCGGAUUUAUUGGGUUUAAAGGGAGCCUAGGCCGGCUUUUAAGGCAGCUGUGAAAGUCCGGGGCUCAACCGUGGAAUUGCAGUUGAAACUGGAUGCCUUGAGUGCAUACAGAGAAGCCGGAAUGCAUGGUGUAGCGGUGAAAUGCAUAGAUAUCAUGAAGAACUCCGAUUGCGAAGGCAGCAUACCGGCGCCCGACUGACGCUGAGGCACGAAAGCGUGGGGAUCGAACAGGAUUAGAUACCCGUGUAGUC